AUAUAAUUUCCAUGUAUCUAUACAUACUUUGUAACAUACUCAGAUAUAAAAAUCUAAUCCUUUUUAAAAGAAGUAUGCAUACAUACUCGUAUGAAUAUGUACUCCCUUCAUGAAAAACAGUACGCCUAUAUACCCUAUUUACAAAGUAUGAAUAUGUACUCUCAUGAAAAAAGUAUGAAUAUGUACUCUUAUAUUAUUAUAUAAAAAUAAAGUACGAAUAUAUAUGUACAUACUUUCUUUUUACAUACUUUAUUUGGACGUAUAUGUUCAUACUUUAUUCACGGAAAUCAUGUAUUUGUCAAAAUAAUAAAAUAGUAUGUACAUAUACUCACUUGUAGCGAAAAGUAUACACAUACACUCCAAGUAUGAAUGCCUAUAUACCUCCUUCGAAAAACUAUAGUGUGCACACAUUUACACUCCCAGCGAUCUGAUGCACCUCCGGUGAUCAUUAAAUAAUAUGCACGUGUAUAUACUUGCCUUCAAAGAAGUCACGUACACAUCAACAGUACCCAUAGCUACCAUAAACCAAUCCUAUCCAAAUCUGUUACGAGAGUAAACGGGCCACACCCCACCCUCGACGUCGACGUCUCCGUUCAGUUACCUCCCGCGACGUUUCCCGUGUGUGCGUCGGUGCCUAUAUAUCAGAUGCGUGUAGUUACUCGUACGUGUAGAAAAGACAUAUAUAUAUAUAUAUAUAUAUAUAUAUAUAUAUAUAUAUAUAUAUAUAUAUAUAUAUAUAUAUAUAUAUAUAUAUAUAUAUAUAUUGCUCCAUCAAUACAUAUAGUUUCAUACUUUAAUUGUAUAAUGCUUCAAAUGUAUUAUCAUAAUAUGUGCGCAUAUACAUAUAGAUUAGUGUCGUAUAAUGCUUAUUUGAAAACCUGUUUUAAACCCAAAACAAAUAAUAAAAUAAAAAUGAAACCAAAAAAGGAAAAAAAGAUAGCUCUUUAGUCCUAAUUUGUAACACCAACCAAGACUGAAGGAGUGCUACGUGGCGGCCUAGGGACACGUCUGGCGCAAACCCUUUAGUCGCGGUUGACAUCAAGAACCGGGACUAAAUGUUCACCUUUAGUCCCGGUUCCUUGACCCGAGACUAAAAGGUGUGCCUUUAGUCCCGAAAUCAUUGUCCCAGUUGGGAAACUAGGAUUUAAGGGGUUCCCAACCAAGACAACUGCCCCGCCUACACUAGUGACAUAGUCCACCAUAACAUUAGAUCUCAUAUAAUAACAUAAAACAUGGAAUGUAUCAAUUGUCUCCUCUAUUAUUAGCAUCAGUAGCCUCACUAUCUAUUCAAUGCACCAUUUGAUCUACCGAAGCUAUUGUUGAAGGCAGCUAUCUAUUGAGCUUCAAAUUGCGUCCUUAUUGUCAUCAUAUAUGCUCUCACAUCCGACUUCAACGUGUUGAGGUUACAAGAAUGAUCCAUAUCAACCUUCGCUCCUCAAUGUUGGCCUUGUGUUGCGCC
Molecule: long non-coding RNA, 1459 nt
Filed under: Sorghum bicolor (sorghum)
Lineage: Eukaryota; Viridiplantae; Streptophyta; Magnoliopsida; Poales; Poaceae
Description: long non-coding RNA (SBIC_LNC000488)
Source: RNAcentral